UCUUCAAGAUGGCUGUCACCUAUUCGCGGCUCUUCCCGCCCGCCUUCCGCCGUCUCUUCGAGUUCUUCGUGCUGCUCAAGUUCUGUGACAGCGGCGGCCGCGGGAGCUUCCCGGGCCUGGCCAUGGAACCAGGCAGCAACCUGGACAUGGAAGAUGAGGAGGAGGAAGAGCUGACCAUGGAGAUGUUUGGGAACAGCUCCAUCAAGUUUGAGCUGGACAUCGAGCCCAAGGUGUUCAAGCCGCCGAGUAGCACAGAGGCCCUGAAUGACAGCCAGGAGUUCCCCUUCCCUGAGACGCCCACCAAAGUGUGGCCGCAGGACGAGUACAUCGUGGAGUACUCACUAGAGUAUGGCUUCCUGCGCCUGUCGCAGGCCACCCGCCAGCGCCUGAGCAUCCCCGUCAUGGUGGUCACCCUGGGUGAGUCUGAGCUGCUGGGCUGGGGGAGCUCCAUGGCGGGGCCUCCCCUCCUGCCUCGGGUCUCCUCCUGCUGGUGCGGGGCCGGGGGCUGUGCAGGAAGCACUGGGGUCUGCCCCGCCUCAGGCACGCUUCCCAGGGCUGGGGGCCUGGAUGGGUUUCCUAAGAAUGGGCAGGGCCAGGAAGCAGGCCAGGCCUCAGCAAUGGAGCCAGCUGGGGCAGGGCCCAGGGGGUGGCCUGGGCGGGGCUCCCGGCUCCCUGAUUCACCCACCCGCAGACCCCACGCGGGACCAGUGCUUCGGGGACCGCUUCAGCCGCCUGCUGCUGGAUGAGUUCCUGGGCUACGAUGACAUCCUCAUGUCCAGCGUGAAGGGCCUGGCGGAGAACGAGGAGAACAAGGGCUUCCUGCGGAAUGUGGUGUCGGGCGAGCACUACCGCUUUGUGAGCAUGUGGAUGGCGCGGACGUCCUACCUGGCCGCCUUCGCCAUCAUGGUCAUCUUCACGCUGAGCGUGUCCAUGCUGCUGCGGUACUCACACCACCAGAUCUUCGUCUUCAUCGGUGAGUGUCCCGCCGGCGCAGGGCGGGGCGGGCGUCCUCCAGGCCCUCACCGGGCGCCCGCCGCCCUGUGCCCGCAGUGGACCUGCUGCAGAUGCUGGAGAUGAACAUGGCCAUCGCCUUCCCCGCAGCGCCCCUGCUGACCGUCAUCCUGGCCCUCGUCGGUGAGGACCCCACCCGGCCUCCCCCGCCCCGCGCUGCACCCCGCCCCGCCCGCUUCAACCGGCGCCGCCUCUCCCUGCAGGGAUGGAGGCCAUCAUGUCGGAGUUCUUCAACGACACCACCACCGCCUUCUACAUCAUCCUCAUCGUGUGGCUCGCGGACCAGUAUGACGCCAUCUGCUGCCACACCAGCACCAGCAAGCGGCACUGGCUGCGGUGAGGCCUGGGCGGCAAGCAGGGGGCGGGCCAGCCGUGCCUUUCCAGGCAGGAGAGGCUGCAGCCGGGGAGGAUGCCCUGUGGGGUCGGCCCAAGCGGGCAGAGCAUUCCAUGAUCUACUUCUUCCACCACUAUGAGCUGCCUGCCAUCCUGCAGCAGGUCCGCAUCCAGGAGAUGCUGCUUCAGGCGCCGCCACUGGGCCCCGGGACCCCCACGGCGCUGCCCGAUGACAUGAACAACAACUCGGGCGCCCCAGCUACAGCCCCUGACUCUGCCGGCCAGUCCCCCGCCCUGGGCCCCGUCUCGCCCGGGGCCAGCGGGAGUCCCGGGCCUGUGGCAGCGGCGCCCAGCUCCCUGGUGGCCGCGGCAGCCUCAGUGGCGGCAGCUGCCGGUGGUGACCUGGGUUGGAUGGCAGAGACCGCUGCCAUCAUCACAGACGCCUCCUUCCUGUCCGGCCUGAGCGCCUCCCUCCUGGAGCGGCGUCCAGCCAGCCCGCUGGGCCCUGCUGGGGGCCUCCCCCACGCCCCCCAGGACAGUGUCCCCCCGAGUGACUCCGCAGCUUCUGACACAACUCCCCUGGGGGCUGCGGUAGGCGGGCCUAGCCCGGCCUCCAUGGCCCCAACGGAGGCGCCCUCGGAGGUGGGGUCCUGAGCCGCACAGCUGAGCCGCCUCUGACCCCUGCUGGCUGGGCCUGACCUUCCCGAGCCCGUGGGGGUGGGGGAGGCCAGCCACCUCCUUCCUCUGGGACUGCCCAGGCUGUGUCGGGGGCUUUCAGGGUUUCGUGGGGUUUGCCCGGAAGGCGGCUUUCCUCCCACUGGUGUGAGGUCGCGCCCGAGGCUUGUACCCGCUAGUGAGCUGUUUGAGCUGGUCAGCAAGGAGAGGGGGUGGGGUUCCGCGGAAGGUUCUGGAGGGGUCUUGGUAGGUCUGCAGUGAACCGUCCUGAGGAUGGAGUGGGGUCGCAUGGUGCAGGUCUCUGAGCAAGGCGGAGGUGUGGAGGAGAGGCCGGCUUGGGGUGGGGCCUCGCGCCCUAGUGCCGGCCGGCCUCAGCCCGGCUCUGCCUGGUGCUCCCUGCAGUGCCUUCUCCAUGGCCCGGCCCUCCCCGCGUGUGCGCCAGGCCUGGGGUCCCCGGGAGAGCAGAGCUUGCGCCUCGGGCAUAGGGACGUGGGGUGCAGGCGCCAACAUCAGUGGCAGCAGCCAGGGCCGUGGUCCAGUCCCACUCGGGGAUGGAGUGGGCCGGCGGCCAAACCAGUCACUCGGGGAGGAAUGCGGAGGAGCGCUCAUUCCAUUCUAUUUAAUUGCAGUGUACAAAAUUGUGUUUGUAUAUAGAAUAAACUGUCUGUUGACAGCG
Molecule: small RNA, 2695 nt
Filed under: Pan troglodytes (chimpanzee)
Lineage: Eukaryota; Metazoa; Chordata; Mammalia; Primates; Hominidae
Description: retained intron
Source: RNAcentral